GACGAACGCUGGCGGCGUGCUUAACACAUGCAAGUCGAACGGAAAGGCCCUGCUUUUGUGGGGUGCUCGAGUGGCGAACGGGUGAGUAACACGUGAGUAACCUGCCCUUGACUUUGGGAUAACUUCAGGAAACUGGGGCUAAUACCGGAUAGGAGCUCCUGCUGCUUGGGGGGGGUUGGACAGUUUCGGCGGUUGGGGAUGGACUCGCGGCUUAUCAGCUUGUUGGGGGGGUAGUGGAUUACCAAGGCUUUGACGGGUAGCCGGCCUGAGAGGGUGACCGGCCACAUUGGGACUGAGAUACGGCCCAGACUCCUACGGGAGGCAGCAGUGGGGAAUAUUGCACAAGGGGCGGAAGCCUGAUGCAGCAACGCCGCUUGCGGGAUGACGGUCUUUGGGUUGUAAACCGCUUUCGCCUGGUACGAAGCGUGAGUGACGGUAAUGGGUAAAGAAGCACCGGCUAACUACGUG
This 468-nucleotide ribosomal RNA is filed under the name uncultured bacterium. Its description in RNAcentral is "partial 16S ribosomal RNA". It matches the Rfam family "Bacterial small subunit ribosomal RNA", at positions 28 to 507 of the family's 1533-position model. The record is from RNAcentral.